Molecule: ribosomal RNA, 429 nt
Filed under: Acidobacteriota bacterium
Lineage: Bacteria; Pseudomonadati; Acidobacteriota
Description: Acidobacteria bacterium partial 16S ribosomal RNA
Rfam family: Bacterial small subunit ribosomal RNA
Source: RNAcentral
UGGGGAAUUUUGGACAAUGGGGGAAACCCUGAUCCAGCCAUCCCGCGUGUGCGAUGACGGCCUUCGGGUUGUAAAGCACUUUUGGCAGGAAAGAAACGUCAUGGGUUAAUACCCCGUGAAACUGACGGUACCUGCAGAAUAAGCACCGGCUAACUACGUGCCAGCAGCCGCGGUAAUACGUAGGGUGCAAGCGUUAAUCGGAAUUACUGGGCGUAAAGCGUGCGCAGGCGGUUCGGAAAGAAAGAUGUGAAAUCCCAGAGCUCAACUUUGGAACUGCAUUUUUAACUACCGGGCUAGAGUGUGUCAGAGGGAGGUGGAAUUCCGCGUGUAGCAGUGAAAUGCGUAGAUAUGCGGAGGAACACCGAUGGCGAAGGCAGCCUCCUGGGAUAACACUGACGCUCAUGCACGAAAGCGUGGGGAGCAAACAGG